RNAcentral lists this ribosomal RNA (684 nucleotides) under fungal sp. RNAcentral describes it as "eukaryotic LSU rRNA". The stretch from base 461 to 684 matches the Rfam family "Eukaryotic large subunit ribosomal RNA", at positions 1 to 228 of the family's 3401-position model. The record is from RNAcentral. Lineage: Eukaryota; Fungi.
UUACCGAGUUUACAACUCCCAAACCCCUGUGAACAUACCACUUGUUGCCUCGGCGGAUCAGCCCGCUCCCGGUAAAACGGGACGGCCCGCCAGAGGACCCCUAAACUCUGUUUCUAUAUGUAACUUCUGAGUAAAACCAUAAAUAAAUCAAAACUUUCAACAACGGAUCUCUUGGUUCUGGCAUCGAUGAAGAACGCAGCAAAAUGCGAUAAGUAAUGUGAAUUGCAGAAUUCAGUGAAUCAUCGAAUCUUUGAACGCACAUUGCGCCCGCCAGUAUUCUGGCGGGCAUGCCUGUUCGAGCGUCAUUUCAACCCUCAAGCACAGCUUGGUGUUGGGACUCGCGUUAAUUCGCGUUCCCCAAAUUGAUUGGCGGUCACGUCGAGCUUCCAUAGCGUAGUAGUAAAACCCUCGUUACUGGUAAUCGUCGCGGCCACGCCGUUAAACCCCAACUUCUGAAUGUUGACCUCGGAUCAGGUAGGAAUACCCGCUGAACUUAAGCAUAUCAAUAAGCGGAGGAAAAGAAACCAACAGGGAUUGCCCUAGUAACGGCGAGUGAAGCGGCAACAGCUCAAAUUUGAAAUCUGGCUCUCGGGCCCGAGUUGUAAUUUGUAGAGGAUACUUUUGAUGCGGUGCCUUCCGAGUUCCCUGGAACGGGACGCCAUAGAGGGUGAGAGCCCCGUCUGG